Non-coding RNA from Aedes albopictus (Asian tiger mosquito), 72 nucleotides. The record is from Rfam. Lineage: Eukaryota; Metazoa; Arthropoda; Insecta; Diptera; Culicidae.
GUCAACGAUCAUACCAUGUUGAAAACACCAGUUCUCGUCCGAUCACUGAAGUUAAGCAACAUCGGGCGCGAU